RNAcentral lists this long non-coding RNA (1093 nucleotides) under Arabidopsis lyrata. RNAcentral describes it as "long non-coding RNA (ALYR_LNC000061)". The record is from RNAcentral. Lineage: Eukaryota; Viridiplantae; Streptophyta; Magnoliopsida; Brassicales; Brassicaceae.
CUGAAACUCAAACAUAAAGUCAAAGUCAUACUUAAAACUCAAACCAAACUAAAAGUAAUCAUACUUAAAGUCUGAAACUGAAACCAAACUAAAACUCAAAGUCAUACUUAAACUCAAACUGAAUUUAACUAAAACCUGAAACAAAACCUGAAAAUCAAAUCAAACUGAAACUUAAGCUGCUUCAUCAUCUUCAUCAUCAAAUGUUUCAUCAUCAACAAUUGAUUGAAAAGAAGGUAACGUCUCAUCUUCACCAUUAGAGUCUACCACCACCACUGCAAAUUUCAAACAAAAACAAAGUUAAUACACAAUUUUAGAUUAUGUAAUUGAAUAACUUGUGAAACAUAUUUGUUUACCGUUUUCAUAUGCUUCGAAACCUUUUAACCAAUUGCGGCUGCAUAUUAAUGCUUGAACCGUUUUUGGUAGGAGAAAACUUCUAUACUUGUUCAAAACUCUAGCUCCAAUGCUAAAAGACGAUUCAGAGGCUACUGUUGUGAUUGGUAUACUAAGGAGGUCACAAGCCAUGGAAGCCAAUUCUCCGUAGCGCUGAGCGUUAUCUUUCCAAAACUUUAGAAUAUCUAAACUCUCAAAGUUCCUCAUAUCUAAUGCCGGUUCAUCAAGAUACAUUUGCAGAGAAGACUUUCCACUAGCAACAACAGUCUCUUUGCGAAAGGCGAAGAAAUCCUGCAAUUUCAUUAAACAAAACUUGUAUAUUUUCAAAAAUCAGAACUUCCAAUCUGUUAAGAACUAAAAGACAGAGAAUUUCAUUAUUUGAAAAUCAAAACCUGCAAUUUUAAUAACAAAAACCUGAAACUAAAAACAUAAGAGAUAGAACCUGCAGUUUUCAAAAGCAAAACCUACAAUUUGCAAAACCAAAACCUGAAACUUUUUAAGAGCAUAAGAUAUAGGUAAUAUCAUAAUUUCAAAUGCAAAACUUGCAGUUUUCAAAACCAGAACGUGCUAUUUUCCAAACCAUAACCUGAAACUUGUAAAGUUCAUAAGAGACAGAGAAUUUACGAGUACUUACAUCAUAAUUGCCAAAACUUCCUCUUUGUCCUUCAUUAUCAUCUCCCUGGUGAUAUGUUUGACGUGUUUC